This is a long non-coding RNA of Gossypium raimondii (Peruvian cotton), 1474 nucleotides long. RefSeq lists it as uncharacterized. Lineage: Eukaryota; Viridiplantae; Streptophyta; Magnoliopsida; Malvales; Malvaceae. The record is from RefSeq and is a predicted model, not a curated record. The transcript has 2 exons.
UUUUUUCUUUACUAAGGCAGUUUAAAAUUAUUAAUUCCAAAAUAAGGGCGUUUUUAAGAUAUCUUAAGCCACUCCUAUUCAUUUCUCUUUAGAAGCAAAAUAUCCUAAUCACUCUUUUUCUUUGGAAUCGAAUUCAACCUGGAGAAAUUUUUUUUGAAAUUUUUUUUUUGGUUAAAAUUUUAAGCUACUUUUUCAUCAUAAUUUUAUUUGAAAUAAUAAGUGAAAUGCAGAAAAAAUAUACUAAAAUUCAAGUAGAGCAACAUAGUAAAGUCUCCUCUUUCAAUUUUCAAUACUCCGUUUGGUAUGUCUCGCUUUCGAUUGAAUUUUAAUUUGAACUUUUUCCUUUUUUAUGAAAUAGAGUUCAACAGUUUUACUGUAUUUCCUCAUCUUUUCACUAAUGAAACUCUGAUUUAACUUAAAAAGAAGUUAAACAGUUUCAACUUUGCCUGAAAUUUCUCCAAAGUGUAUGGGGCAAGGGGGUUUCUCUAGGGAUUUGGUAGAGACAGACGAAGUUGCCGUCCGCCAUUUAGAUCCCCUCUUUACCCUUAUUGGGAAAUUUAAUCACAUGGGAUUCAGUGGGAAAGGCAUAGCGUCAGCCAUGGUCGGAUUAGUAAAAGGAAUUAUUUAAGCCGGCAAAGCAGGGCUCAAUGUGGCCGGGUUUUUGGAUGCGAUAUCGACGGGGCAGCUGAGCUCAAAAUCGUUGGAUUUGUAAGGGAACCGGAUUUUAAUGAGGGAUUUCGAACCAGGCUUUUUCGUCAACCAUUUUGUUAAGGAUUUGGGGAUUUGUUUAAAGGAAUGUCAGAUCACGGGACUUGCUUUGUAGUUCAACAGCUUUAUUUGUUGCUUAUGGCUCAUUGAGGAAGGAAUAUGAUAACUCAAGCUCUGAUUUUGCCUCUGGACAGGCACACCUUAAAACCGGUUGAAGGUGCACAAAGGCACCAAAUUGUAUGAAAUGGUUUGGUUGAUUGAAAUAGGUACCAAAAGGUCUAUUUUGUGCUAAAAACAAAGUCCAUGUCAAGACAUCAAGUGAUGAUCGUCACAAUGAGAUUUGGGAUUUUGAUCACGGCGUGACAAGGAACCCCGUCGUAACAAUAAGGCAAACUAGACAGUCACAUUGCGACGAGUAACUUCACAUCGCAAUGUCGUAUUGAAAUUUUGAAAAUGUUGCAAUUUGGUUUUAAUACAGUUCUGGGUUAACUUUAGAGCAUUUGUAAGCUCAUAUAAGACCUGAGAAAAUUUGUAUUAUGAACUCAUGAUCUGUAAUGAUUGUGUUUGCAUUUUUUUAUAUUUUAAUGUGAAUGUUAAUUGUCUGUAGUUGUUCCGGUAACAAGUGUAACAUUUCGUAAUUCAGACUCGACGAUCGGAUUGGACGAAGAGUGUUACACUAGCAGAGGACCAUUCAACUGAAAUUGUGGUGAUGUAUUGUUCUGAGGUAUAUUAAGAUUCAAUCUCUGGUUCAUAUUUCGUCGACCAA